RNAcentral lists this ribosomal RNA (253 nucleotides) under uncultured bacterium. RNAcentral's name for it is "partial 16S ribosomal RNA". It matches the Rfam family "Bacterial small subunit ribosomal RNA", at positions 524 to 776 of the family's 1533-position model. The record is from RNAcentral.
UACGUAGGGGGCAAGCGUUGUCCGGAAUCAUUGGGCGUAAAGCGCGCGUAGGCGGCCCGGUAAGUCCGUUGUGAAAGUCAAAGGCUCAACCUUUGAACGCCGAUGGAUACUGCCGGGCUAGAGUCCGGAAGAGGCGAGUUGAAUUCCUGGUGUAGCGGUGGAAUGCGCAGAUAUCAGGAGGAACACCAAUAGCGAAGGCAGCUCGCUGGGACGGUACUGACGCUGAGGCGCGAAAGCGUGGGGAGCGAACAGG